UGGGGUGUAUAUUUCAGAUUUUAAGGUGUUUUCUUUGCUAAUAAUCAUUUCUUGUUUGCCAGGGAGAAGGAAGCUGACCUGCGAUCAACGGAAGGUCACUAUGUCUCAUCUGAAACAAUACCGGGUGUAAACUUAGGAAGUGAUGAUCCUUCGUCUCAAGGACACACAGAUCAAAGUAGCGUAAACAAACCGGCAGAGAGCAUGUUGAGUCUGGUUGAAGAGUCAGCCAGUGAGCCAGCUGAAGAGAACAUGAUGGUUGUGCGGGUAGAGACACAGUCGCAAAUAGAAGCGCUUUCAAU
Non-coding RNA from Arachis ipaensis, 299 nucleotides. The record is from RefSeq and is a predicted model, not a curated record. Lineage: Eukaryota; Viridiplantae; Streptophyta; Magnoliopsida; Fabales; Fabaceae.